GGGCCCGCACAAGCGGUGGAGCAUGUGGUUCAAUUCGAAGCAACGCGAAGAACCUUACCAGCCCUUGACAUGUCCCAUUUGGGUUUCAGAGAUGAGACCCUUCAGUUCGGCUGGCGGGAACACAGGUGCUGCA
This 133-nucleotide ribosomal RNA is filed under the name uncultured bacterium. RNAcentral describes it as "partial 16S ribosomal RNA". It matches the Rfam family "Bacterial small subunit ribosomal RNA", at positions 917 to 1045 of the family's 1533-position model. The record is from RNAcentral.